Molecule: ribosomal RNA, 271 nt
Filed under: uncultured bacterium
Lineage: Bacteria
Also listed under: 1 other name
Description: partial 16S ribosomal RNA
Rfam family: Bacterial small subunit ribosomal RNA
Source: RNAcentral
UACGGAGGGUGCGAGCGUUGUCCGGAAUCACUGGGCGUAAAGGGCGCGUAGGUGGCUGGUCAAGUGCGCGGUGAAAGCCCGGGGCUCAACCCCGGGUCGGCCGUGCAGACUGGGCAGCUUGAGCACUGUAGGGGCGGGUGGAAUUCCGGGUGUAGCGGUGGAAUGCGUAGAGAUCCGGAAGAACACCGGUGGCGAAGGCGGCCCGCUGGGCAGGAAGACGUCGUAAGACGUCGGCUGACACUGAGGCGCGACAGCGUGGGGAGCAAACAGG